CAGUCGCCGCGGUAAUACAGAGGCCUCAAGCGUUGUUCGGAUUCAUUGGGCGUAAAGGGUGCGUAGGUGGCUUGGUAAGUUGAAGGUGAAAUCUCGGGGCUUAACCCCGAAACUGCCUUCAAUACUGCUAGGCUCGAGGACUGUAGAGGAGAAUGGAAUUCACGGUGUAGCAGUGAAAUGCGUAGAUAUCGUGAGGAAGACCAGUGGCGAAGGCGAUUCUCUGGGCAGUUCCUGACACUGAGGCACGAAGGCCAGGGGAGCAAACGGGAUUAGAUACCCGUGUAGUCCCUGUCUCUUAUAC
RNAcentral lists this ribosomal RNA (301 nucleotides) under uncultured bacterium. RNAcentral describes it as "partial 16S ribosomal RNA". It matches the Rfam family "Bacterial small subunit ribosomal RNA", at positions 509 to 807 of the family's 1533-position model. The record is from RNAcentral.